Molecule: transfer RNA, 74 nt
Filed under: Lygodactylus grotei
Lineage: Eukaryota; Metazoa; Chordata; Lepidosauria; Squamata; Gekkonidae
Description: tRNA-Asn
Source: RNAcentral
UAGGCUGAAGUCCGCUGGCUUGGACGUCUGGUUGUUAACUAGAAUUUUACGGGAUCAAAGCCCGUUAGCCUAGU